Molecule: ribosomal RNA, 273 nt
Filed under: uncultured bacterium
Lineage: Bacteria
Description: partial 16S ribosomal RNA
Rfam family: Bacterial small subunit ribosomal RNA
Source: RNAcentral
UACGGGGGGGGCAAGCGUUGUUCGGAAUUACUGGGCGUAAAGGGUUCGUAGGUGGCCCGCUAAGUCAGACGUGAAAUCCCUCAGCUCAACUGGGGAACUGCGUCUGAGACUGGCAGGCUUGAGUGCAGGAGAGGAACGCGGAAUUCCAGGUGUAGCGGUGAAAUGCGUAGAUAUCUGGAGGAACACCGGUGGCGAAGGCGGCGUUCUGGACUGUUACUGACACUGAGGAACGAAAGCCAGGGGAGCAAACGGGAUUAGAAACCCCCGUAGUCC